UAUUGGACAAUGGGCGAAAGCCUGAUCCAGCCAUGCCGCGUGUGUGAAGAAGGUCUUCGGAUUGUAAAGCACUUUAAGUUGGGAGGAAGGGCUUUAGGCUAAUACCCUGAAGUUUUGACGUUACCAACAGAAUAAGCACCGGUUAAUCCUGCGCCACCACCCUCGGUAAUACACAGGGUGAAAGCGUUAAUCGGAAUUACUGGGCGUAAAGCGCGCGUAGGUGGUUCAGUAAGAUAGGUGUGAAAUCCCCGGGCUCAACCUGGGAACUGCUUUCAUAACUGCUGAGCUAGAGUACGGUAGAGGGUAGUGGAAUUUCCUGUGUAGCGGUGAAAUGCGUAGAUAUAGGAAGGAACACCAGUGGCGAAGGCGACUACCUGGACUGAUACUGACACUGAGGUGCGAAAGCGUGGGGAGCAAACAG
RNAcentral lists this ribosomal RNA (421 nucleotides) under uncultured bacterium. RNAcentral describes it as "partial 16S ribosomal RNA". It matches the Rfam family "Bacterial small subunit ribosomal RNA", at positions 362 to 775 of the family's 1533-position model. The record is from RNAcentral.